This 253-nucleotide ribosomal RNA is filed under the name uncultured bacterium. Its description in RNAcentral is "partial 16S ribosomal RNA". It matches the Rfam family "Bacterial small subunit ribosomal RNA", at positions 524 to 776 of the family's 1533-position model. The record is from RNAcentral.
UACGUAGGGGGCUAGCGUUGUCCGGAAUCAUUGGGCGUAAAGAGCGUGUAGGCGGCCUGGUAAGUCCGCUGUAAAAGUCAAAGGCUCAACCUUUGAAUGUCAGUGGAUACUGCCGGGCUAGAGUCCGGAAGAGGCGAGUGGAACUUCUGGUGUAGCGGUGGAAUGCGCAGAUAUCAGGAAGAACACCAACGGCGAAGGCAGCUCGCUAGGACGGUACUGACGCUGAGACGCGAAAGCGUGGGGAGCGAACAGG